UUGAUUUUUCCUGUGAAAAAUUGUUUUAAGCCUUUUAUCUCUACUAAGGUGAAUUUUAGUACAUUGCAUUUUUCAAGGAUGCUAUCCAAUUAUUUAAUUUUUCAAAUAUAUUUGUAUAGAGUCAAACAAAAUAGUCUGUAAGAAUCUUUUAAAAUUUACUUUGUUUCAAGGUUAUUUCCCCCAUAACAUUUUUAAAUUCAUAUAUCUGUGCUUUCUCCUUUUUUUUCUGAGUUAGAUUAGGUGGUAGUUUAUCUAGUUUAUUAAUUUUUCCUCAAGAACAAGCAUUUUGAUUGAUUUAUCAAUUUUGUUAUAUUUUUGCUUGCUGUUUUAUUAAUUUCUACUUCUAUAUUUUAAAAAAUUUUUCUUCUGCUUCCCCCAUCCCCUACCUACUUUUCUGAGUUGGGAAUUUAAUUCAUUUAUUUUUAUUUAUCUAAGUAUCAUAAGUAUGUAGAGCUAUGUAUUUUCCUAUAGUCACUGUUUUAAUUGUAUCUCAUAAAUGUCUUAGGAAGAGUUCAUGAAUAUUUUCUGAGUUUCCAUCUGUAUCAAACUGUUUCCCUAUAGGCUUGGUACUUUAAAAACAGUCUGCCUACAUAUAACACUCUGGGCUCAUAUUUUCCUUUUUUGAGUUUCUUAAAACUGUUCUUGCACAGUUUUCUUGCUUUGUAUGCUGUUUUAUGAUCUUAUUUCCUUUGUAAGUGAUUUGGCCUUUUUUGCUUGGAUGCCCAGAAGAUUGCUUGUAUAUAUUUAAUGUCUAAUAGGCCUAUUAUACUGUGUCUUAGAUGUAUGUCUAUAUAUUACAAUUGACCAUUCUGGGUUAGUCUUCUUAGGUACACAAAUAUAUCCAAGUUUUCUUUUAUUUAUACAAAGUUUUAUUGGAUUGUGGUUUAAUAUGUGAUUAAAUAUGUGAUUUCUCUCAUUUCAUUGUUUUUGUUUUUCUUGCCAGAAACCCAAAUGAUAAUGCCCAGUCUUCUUUCUCUCUGAUGGUUUUCACCUUAUUUAUUUUGUUUUCAUUUUCUUGGAAUUUUUCAUAUAUUUUUAAACUUCUGCUUUGAGAGAAAUCAAUUUUCUCUUGAGUACUUUGAAAUUAUUCUUCCUACAUAAGAUGUUUUUGCCUUUUUCUUUAAUUUCCCUCCUGGGGACUAUCUUUUUUUCGUAUAUUACUUUAUUUAAUUCUGCUUUUCUGAUUUAACAUUUUUUCUUUUUGCAAAAUAUUUGUUUAAAAUAUUUAAUUCAAGAUGGGGUGUUAUGUUACAGAUUGUUUUCAGAGCCUCCAGUUAAAUUGGGGUUCCAGCACCUGUGUGGAUAGCUAAGGGGAAAUGAAGGGGAGCUGGAUAUGGUUGUUUACAAGGUGUCUUUCACGGGACACAUCUUUUACCUGGCAGACAGCCUAGUGUCUAGUUGUCUAACCUGUGACCAGGAAGAUUUCUCACACAGGAAACUUGUUUAUACUGGCAGAUGCCCUUUUGGCUCUUGUCUGACCUGUGUUCAGUUUAUGCCUGCCUGACCAUUGCUCUGGUUCUGGGAGCUCAACUUUGUGCUUCCCCGUCCCAUGUCAGGGAAAGAUAGGCCUGGCGUAGCCCCUGAUUCUUCAGAUGGAAGGUGGGAAUUCAAUACUCCAGCACAAAAGGAAACAAUUAAAAGAUUGUACUUACAAAUCUUGGGCAAGGAAGGUGGGAUGGCAGUCCUCUGUCCUAGGGUCAUGUGAGGCAGAAAUGAAGGAGUCAGGCAGAGAGACAGGGCAUGUGGCAAAUAGUUGUAUGUAUAAGGGAAUACAGUGUGGGUUAUUUUAAGUUCUUAGGCAAAUAUCUGACAGAUUCACUUAAAAGGAAACAGCGGAAGAGUGGGUAGUCCUAUUGAGAGACAGGACUAGCUGGAUUUCCUAAGUCGACUAAGAAUUCCUAAGCCCAGCUGGGGAAGGUUACCACACCCACCUUUAAACGCGGGGCUUGUAACUCAGCUCACACCGGACCCAUCAGGUAGUAAAUAGUGCUCACUAAAAUACCAAUUAGGGUAAAAGCAGGAGGUAAAGAAAUAGUCAAAUCAUCUACUGCCUGAGAGCACCGGGGAGAGACAAUGAUCGGAAAAUAAAUCCAGGCCUUUGUGCCAGCAGGGGCAACCCCCUCUGGGUCCCCUCCCAUUGUAUGUGAGCUCUGUUUUCAUUCUAUUAAAUCUUGCAACUGCACAUUCUUCUGGUCCGUGUUUCUGCCGGCUCAAACUGAGCUUUCGCUCUCCAUCCACCAUGGCUGAACGCCACAGUCGCAGACCUGCCGUUGACUUUCAUCCCUCUGGAUUUGGCAGGGUGUCCACUGAGCUUCUGAUUCAGCGAGGUGCUCAUUGCUGCUCCCAAUCAGGCUAGAGGCUCGCCAUUGUUCCUGCACCGGGAAGUGCCCGGGUUCAUCCUAAUUAGGCUGAACACUAGUCUCUGGGUUCCAUGGUUCUCUUCCGUGACCCACAGCUUCUAAUAGAGCUAUAACACUUACCGCAUGGCCCAAGGUUCCAUUCCUUGGAAUCCCUGAGGCCAAGAACCCCACGUCAGAGAACAAAAGGCUUGCUGCCAUCUUGGGAGCAGCCGGCCCCAUCUUGGGAGUGGCCCACCACCAUCUUGGGAGCUCUAAGAACAAAGACCUGCUGGUAACACUAUCUCUGGCCACCUAUCUCUGGCCUAUCUAUCUCUGGUUCCUAUCUCUGGCCAUGGCUUGAGCCAUUUGGGUGCAGUGAACAGGAAACUGUAAAGAGUGACAGCCCUGCUUCUACAAAAUGGAUGCCAAGUUGUUCCUGCGCGCUCACUCUCUCUCCUGCCACCUUGUGAUGAAGAUGCCUGCUUCCUCUUCUGUCAUGAUUGUUACACCUCCUCCCUCCUUAAAUAGCACUUAGUGUAAUUGAUGCCAAGUUAAUCCCUGUGCUGCCAAGAGAAGUGUCCAUGGGGUAGGAACCGCAUGCUGUUUUACCUGUGCUUAAAGAGGAAAGUGUCACGCGUCUCUGAAGAAACAAUGUUGACUGAAAAAUAGCGCCAAGUCUCAAACAAGAUCUUUGUGAAAAAUAAAGCAUGAAGCACAAAAUGAGAGAGUAAGUCUUAUUAUCUAAGAAUUAAAAUGAUGAUUAAGGUGAUUAUCUUUUUCUUCUUUAUUUUUAAAUAGUUUGCAAAAUUAUAACAAUAGGUAUGCAUUAUUUUAUAAUUAUUGACAACAUGGUGUUUUGUAAAACAAAGUGUAUUAUAUGAAGAAUAUUCUCAAUUUUAUUUGGAGCUAUAAAAAACUAUAAGACUAUGCAGAAGCACAAUAAAAUGCUAACAGUGAGUAUCUCUGAAUAGUGGGAUUAUUGCUAAAUUUUAUCCCACUCUCCUUUGCUUUUUAUUAUUGUCUAAAUUUCGUGCAGUGAGUAUAUGCUACCUUUGUAAUUUAAAAAUAAAGUUGGUUAAUUUUCU
This 3424-nucleotide long non-coding RNA is filed under the name Homo sapiens (human). RNAcentral describes it as "HSALNT0058652". Lineage: Eukaryota; Metazoa; Chordata; Mammalia; Primates; Hominidae. The record is from RNAcentral.